GACGAACGCUGGCGGCGUGCCUAAUACAUGCAAGUCGAACGCAUUUUCUUUCACCGUAGCUUGCUACACCGACAGAAAAUGAGUGGCGAACGGGUGAGUAACACGUGGGUAACCUGCCCAUCAGCGGGGGAUAACACUUGGAAACAGGUGCUAAUACCGCAUAAUUCCAUUUACCGCAUGGUAGAUGGAUGAAAGGCGCUUUUGCGUCACUGAUGGAUGGACCCGCGGUGCAUUAGCUAGUUGGUGGGGUAACGGCCUACCAAGGCUGCGGUGCAUAGCCGACCUGAGAGGGUGAUCGGCCACACUGGGACUGAGACACGGCCCAGACUCCUACGGGAGGCAGCAGUAGGGAAUCUUCGGCAAUGGACGCAAGUCUGACCGAGCAACGCCGCGUGAGUGAAGAAGGUUUUCGGAUCGUAAAACUCUGUUGUUAGAGAAGAACAAGGAUGAGAGUGGAAAGUUCAUCCCUUGACGGUAUCUAACCAGAAAGCCACGGCUAACUACGUG
This 507-nucleotide ribosomal RNA is filed under the name uncultured bacterium. RNAcentral's name for it is "partial 16S ribosomal RNA". It matches the Rfam family "Bacterial small subunit ribosomal RNA", at positions 28 to 507 of the family's 1533-position model. The record is from RNAcentral.